UUUAUGGAGAGUUUGAUCCUGGCUCAGGAUGAACGCUGGCGGCGUGCCUAAUACAUGCAAGUCGAGCGAACGGACGAGAAGCUUGCUUCUCUGAUGUUAGCGGCGGACGGGUGAGUAACACGUGGAUAACCUACCUAUAAGACUGGGAUAACUUCGGGAAACCGGAGCUAAUACCGGAUAAUAUUUUGAACCGCAUGGUUCAAAAGUGAAAGACGGUCUUGCUGUCACUUAUAGAUGGAUCCGCGCUGCAUUAGCUAGUUGGUAAGGUAACGGCUUACCAAGGCAACGAUGCAUAGCCGACCUGAGAGGGUGAUCGGCCACACUGGAACUGAGACACGGUCCAGACUCCUACGGGAGGCAGCAGUAGGGAAUCUUCCGCAAUGGGCGAAAGCCUGACGGAGCAACGCCGCGUGAGUGAUGAAGGUCUUCGGAUCGUAAAACUCUGUUAUUAGGGAAGAACAUAUGUGUAAGUAACUGUGCACAUCUUGACGGUACCUAAUCAGAAAGCCACGGCUAACUACGUGCCAGCAGCCGCGGUAAUACGUAGGUGGCAAGCGUUAUCCGGAAUUAUUGGGCGUAAAGCGCGCGUAGGCGGUUUUUUAAGUCUGAUGUGAAAGCCCACGGCUCAACCGUGGAGGGUCAUUGGAAACUGGAAAACUUGAGUGCAGAAGAGGAAAGUGGAAUUCCAUGUGUAGCGGUGAAAUGCGCAGAGAUAUGGAGGAACACCAGUGGCGAAGGCGACUUUCUGGUCUGUAACUGACGCUGAUGUGCGAAAGCGUGGGGAUCAAACAGGAUUAGAUACCCUGGUAGUCCACGCCGUAAACGAUGAGUGCUAAGUGUUAGGGGGUUUCCGCCCCUUAGUGCUGCAGCUAACGCAUUAAGCACUCCGCCUGGGGAGUACGACCGCAAGGUUGAAACUCAAAGGAAUUGACGGGGACCCGCACAAGCGGUGGAGCAUGUGGUUUAAUUCGAAGCAACGCGAAGAACCUUACCAAAUCUUGACAUCCUUUGACAACUCUAGAGAUAGAGCCCGCAAGGUUGAAACUCAAAGGAAUUGACGGGGACCCGCACAAGCGGUGGAGCAUGUGGUUUAAUUCGAAGCAACGCGAAGAACCUUACCAAAUCUUGACAUCCUUUGACAACUCUAGAGAUAGAGCUUUCCCCUUCGGGGGACAAAGUGACAGGUGGUGCAUGGUUGUCGUCAGCUCGUGUCGUGAGAUGUUGGGUUAAGUCCCGCAACGAGCGCAACCCUUAAGCUUAGUUGCCAUCAUUAAGUUGGGCACUCCCGCAAGGUUGAAACUCAAAGGAAUUGACGGGGACCCGCACAAGCGGUGGAGCAUGUGGUUUAAUUCGAAGCAACGCGAAGAACCUUACCAAAUCUUGACAUCCUUUGACAACUCUAGAGAUAGAGCCUUCCCCUUCGGGGGACAAAGUGACAGGUGGUGCAUGGUUGUCGUCAGCUCGUGUCGUGAGAUGUUGGGUUAAGUCCCGCAACGAGCGCAACCCUUAAGCUUAGUUGCCAUCAUUAAGUUGGGCACUCUAAGUUGACUGCCGGUGACAAACCGGAGGAAGGUGGGGAUGACGUCAAAUCAUCAUGCCCCUUAUGAUUUGGGCUACACACGUGCUACAAUGGACAAUACAAAGGGCAGCGAAACCGCGAGGUCAAGCAAAUCCCAUAAAGUUGUUCUCAGUUCGGAUUGUAGUCUGCAACUCGACUACAUGAAGCUGGAAUCGCUAGUAAUCGUAGAUCAGCAUGCUACGGUGAAUACGUUCCCGGGUCUUGUACACACCGCCCGUCACACCACGAGAGUUUGUAACACCCGAAGCCGGUGGAGUAACCUUUUAGGAGCUAGCCGUCGAAGGUGGGACAAAUGAUUGGGGUGAAGUCGUAACAAGGUAGCCGUAUCGGAAGGUGCGGCUGGAUCACCUCCUUU
Molecule: ribosomal RNA, 1934 nt
Filed under: Staphylococcus aureus
Lineage: Bacteria; Bacillati; Bacillota; Bacilli; Caryophanales; Staphylococcaceae
Description: bacterial SSU rRNA
Rfam family: Bacterial small subunit ribosomal RNA
Source: RNAcentral